CGCGCCAAAUGCAUUGAGAGUGAUGAUGCAGAUGAAUCAAAGUGCAAGGGUUUGGGAAAAUACAGGACAUAUGCUGGUGGGACUGCAAGCUGGUCAAGGAACUUGUACGUUUUACUUUCUUUACUCAAGAUACUGAACGGAUUGCUUGCUUUUGAAACCGGAAAAUUCUUAAUUGUGUAUUUUCUAGGCGACUAAUUCAAGGCAUAAUAAUGGAAACCAAGUGCCUGCUAGUCUUAACCUUUAUAUUCACGCAUGCUGCUGCAUUUUAUAACAUAUCUGUACUCAGGUAUAGGUGUUGUAACACGUCUACAUGCUUAGACUUGAAUAGAGCUGCUGGUCAGUCUAAUUGACAUGUUUUGCGUUUUGGUGAAAUGCUUCGUGUCAGUCCUUUUAGUGUUCUAAACUAUAUUUAAAAACAUAAUUAUUUUUCUGUGAGUCGUAAGCUUUAGCACAUAAUCGUAAAUCUGAACUUGUUUGCAUCAAUAUUUUGAUUCUAAGACCACAAUACAAGUACAACCUCAUACAUGUCUUAUUUCCUAGAGAAGUCUCCGAAAUAAGAAAUAACAUUCUAGCAUUCCAAUUUUUAUCUUUUGUCAUGGCCUACAAAAUAUUGCCUUAAAUCGAUGCAAGAUAUCUAAGCUGCACUUGCUAAGAGGUUCUGUGACAGCUUUUCAUAUCGGAAAUGAUCCUUCAUAGAGUCAUCUGCAGACCAAAUAAAGAUACCGUGAAGUUUCCUCUGGCUCCUUAGUAUGGUGCAUGCAUCAAAGAAUCCAUGUUCAGGAGACAAGCCGCCAAUAUUAUUAGUUCCAAAACUCACAAGAAUCUUGCCUCCUUUAUAGUUACAUCUCUGUGUUUCAAAGUACUGCAAGAAUUGAGGAAUGGUUGUGCCCUUCGCGUAGGCAUAAAAUUGGAAGUUGACAUAGUCUAUUAGAUGACCAUACUUUCUCCAGAGUGCUAAAUAAUGCACCUGCACUGAAUCAUCUGCAUAUGGUGCUAUUGAUGUGUAAGAGAUGACAUUGUUUUGUUUAAGGAAGUACAACAGUCGCCCGAUGCACUCUGCAAAUGUAUCUGGAUCUACAUUGAAGUGUUCAUAAUCUAUAUCUAUUGCAUCCAGGUUAUACUCUUUCGCUAUCUUGGUGAUUGAAUAUAUUGCAUUUCUCACCCAAGAUGUAAUCGAUGUAGGAGCAAAGGUGGCAUUUUUACCGUUCACUGUAUCACCACCAAGACUCAUACCUAC
This 1237-nucleotide long non-coding RNA is filed under the name Solanum tuberosum (potato). RNAcentral describes it as "long non-coding RNA (STUB_LNC011054)". The record is from RNAcentral. Lineage: Eukaryota; Viridiplantae; Streptophyta; Magnoliopsida; Solanales; Solanaceae.